Molecule: transfer RNA, 74 nt
Filed under: Sphaerodactylus townsendi
Lineage: Eukaryota; Metazoa; Chordata; Lepidosauria; Squamata; Sphaerodactylidae
Description: tRNA-Ala
Rfam family: tRNA
About the family: Transfer RNA (tRNA) molecules are approximately 80 nucleotides in length. Their secondary structure includes four short double-helical elements and three loops (D, anti-codon, and T loops).
Source: RNAcentral
GGAGGGGCAUGGCUCAAUGAUAGAGCCUUUGCUUUGCAUGCAGAAUGUCCCAGGUUCCCUUCCUGGCCUCUCCU